RNAcentral lists this ribosomal RNA (253 nucleotides) under uncultured bacterium. Its description in RNAcentral is "partial 16S ribosomal RNA". It matches the Rfam family "Bacterial small subunit ribosomal RNA", at positions 524 to 776 of the family's 1533-position model. The record is from RNAcentral.
UACGUAGGGUGCGAGCGUUAAUCGGAAUUACUGGGCGUAAAGCGUGCGCAGGCGGUUAUGUAAGACAGUUGUGAAAUCCCCGGGCUCAACCUGGGAACUGCAUCUGUGACUGCAUAGCUAGAGUACGGUAGAGGGGGAUGGAAUUCCGCGUGUAGCAGUGAAAUGCGUAGAUAUGCGGAGGAACACCGAUGGCGAAGGCAAUCCCCUGGACCUGUACUGACGCUCAUGCACGAAAGCGUGGGGAGCAAACAGG